UACGGGGGGUGCAAGCGUUGUUCGGAUUUAUUGGGCGUAAAGCGCGUGUAGGCGGUUUAUUAAGUCUGAUGUGAAAGCCCUGGGCUCAACCCAGGAAGUGCAUUGGAUACUGGUAGACUUGAAUACGGGAGAGGGUAGUGGAAUUCCUGGUGUAGGAGUGAAAUCCGUAGAUAUCAGGAGGAACACCGGUGGCGAAGGCGGCUGCCUGGACCGAUAUUGACGCUGAGACGCGAAAGCGUGGGUAGCAAACAGG
This 253-nucleotide ribosomal RNA is filed under the name uncultured bacterium. Its description in RNAcentral is "partial 16S ribosomal RNA". It matches the Rfam family "Bacterial small subunit ribosomal RNA", at positions 524 to 776 of the family's 1533-position model. The record is from RNAcentral.